GCUCCAUAGACUGAAGAACAGUUCAGUGUGAUUGUGGGGACUGUUGUACUGUGCCAUUGUGAGGGCUUUUUUUUCCAAGGCCAAAAGUAGGAAGAGGAGGUACGCUAGCCUAGGCAUAUGGGAUACUGGAUCCCCUCUGCUAUGAAUGCAAUAUUCAGAAAGGAUCUUGCAUAAUUCAUUGAUUCUGUUAUUUCGGAGAGUGAUCCUCAAAGUGUAAUGAGAGGACCCCCUUAAUUUGACAGGCCUGUGAAGACAGAAACCAACUGCUUUCGUUUGGGACUCUCUCUCUCUCUUUGUGGGACGCGUUGAUAUCAGGAUGAUAAUGAGGACUCUCUCUUUUCAAAAUAAUGGAUUCGUUAAUAACCAGUCUGGGGGUCUGGGAGGACUAGUUCAAAGGCCUUUAUGAUCUAAGAGCGAGCGUGGCAGCUUGUUGCCGAAGGUUUCCAAACCAGAGAUACUACUGAUUUAUUUAGGUCGCCAUGGAUAAAACACCAGGUUGUUGUUGCUGGACAAAAUCAUUUCAGCAGUUUGGGAAAUACAGCAGAGAGAGAAAACAACACGAACUACUUUGAAAGACCUGAGCCCUAGGACCAUGCCUCAGGACUACCUGGCUUGAUGACUCCUUGCUGUCCCCAGUUCACCUGGCUGUGCUGCUGCUCCAGUUCCAACUGUUCUGCCUGCAGCUAUGGAACCCUGACCUGUUCACCGGACAUGCUACCUGUCCCAGACCUGUUGUCCCAGACCUGCUGGAACCCUGACCUAUUCGCCGGACAUGCUACCUGUCCCAGACCUGCUGUUUUCAACUCUCUAGAGACAGCAGGAGCGGUAGAGAUACUCUCAAAGAUCUCCUAUGAAAAAGCCAACUGACACUUACUCUUGUGUUACUGACUUGUUGCACCCUCGACAACUACUCUGAUUAUUAUUAUUUGACAAUGCUGGUCCUUUAUGAACAUUUGAACAUCUAGGCCAUGUGCUGUUAUAAUCUCCACCCGGCACAGCCAGAAGAGGACUGGCCACCCCUCAUAGCCUGGUUCCUCUCUAGGUUUCUUCCUAGGUUUUGGCCUUUCUAGGGAGUUUUUCCUAGCCACCGUGCUUCUACACCUGCAUUGCUUGCUGUUUGGGGUUUUAGGCUGGGUUUCUGUACAGCACUUUGUGAUAUCAGCUGAUGUAAGAAGGGCUAUAUAAAUAUAUUUGAUUUGAUUUGAUUUGAUUAAGAGAUGUAACCUGGGGUAAAGGGUGCCAUUAAGAGAUGUAACCUGGGGUAAAGGGUGCCAUUAAGAGAUGUAACCUGUAGUAAAGGGUGUCAUUAAGAGAUGUAACCUGGGGUAAAUGAUGCCAUUAAGAGAUGUAACCUGGGGUAAAUGAUGCCAUUAAGAGAUGUAACCUGUGGUAAAGGGUGCCAUUAAGAGAUGUAACCUGUAGUAAAGGGUGUCAUUAUGAGAUGUCACCUGGUAAAGGGUGUCAUUAAGAGAUGUAACCUGUAGUAAAGGGUGUCAUUAAGAGAUGUAACCUGGGUAAAGGGUGUCAUUAAGAGAUGUAACCUGUAGUAAAGGGUGCCAUUAAGAGAUGUAACCUGGGUAAAGGGUGC
RNAcentral lists this long non-coding RNA (1588 nucleotides) under Salmo salar (Atlantic salmon). RNAcentral describes it as "lncRNA (ENSSSAG00000095330.1)". The record is from RNAcentral. Lineage: Eukaryota; Metazoa; Chordata; Actinopteri; Salmoniformes; Salmonidae.